RNAcentral lists this long non-coding RNA (769 nucleotides) under Ananas comosus (pineapple). Its description in RNAcentral is "long non-coding RNA (ACOM_LNC003969)". Lineage: Eukaryota; Viridiplantae; Streptophyta; Magnoliopsida; Poales; Bromeliaceae. The record is from RNAcentral.
CUAAUAUGCUGAUACAAGAAAAAAAAAGAAAAAAUCGUAAAUCAUUAGUAUAGUUAGAAAUAGAAAUGUUAAUGAGACCAACUGUUCUUAGAGCAAGUGGCAAAGAGUUUGGUGGUUGGCACCUGAGACCCAAAUUCGAAUCCUAGUUGAUUCAUAUUUCCAGCUAAGUUUAUUUCUAAAUAAAAUAAACGUAGCGGGUAGCAUGCUACCUAUCUCUCUCUAAAAAAAAAAGGGUAAAAAAAGAAGAAAUGUCAACGAGUCGAACACGACCGAGCUGGGGCCAACUUGUUUCAUUAACGAGUUGAUUUCGAGCUGGCUCAUUAAAGUCUUAAGCCGAAAAAAAUACGAGCUGCCUCACGAACAAUAAGUUAAAAAAUUGAAAAGAAAAAAAAUAUAUAUAGUAAAUAAGUUUAUAAAAUUUCAUCCAUUAGACUUUGAUGUAAUGGUUGAAACUUUUCACAUAAACCAAUCUUUUUUUAUAAUUGAGUUAGCUUUUAUAUUUAGGUUGGGCUAAAACUAAAAGAAUAAAAAUUUGUAUAACAUAUAUAUAAUUAUUUAUUUAUAUAUAAAUAAAUAUAAAAUAUAUGUAUUUGAACUGUUAUCGAGCCGAACACGAGUAAGCUGACCCCAGCUCGUGUUCGGCUCAAUUUAUUAGACCAGCAAUUCGAUUGCGAGCUUAUUUCGAGCUGACUCACGAACGGCGAGCUGAAUGGAGGACGAGAAUAAUUAAGUUAAAAUAAAAUUUAAUGAAAAAUAAAGGGAUUAAUGA